AGAGUUUGAUCCUGGCUCAAAAUCAACUCAGGCGGCGUGCCUAACACAUGCAAGUCGAACGCGAAAGCGGCUUCGGCCGUAAGUAGAGUGGCAAACGGGUGAGUAACGCGUGGGUGACCUGCCUUCCAGUGGGGGGUAACGUUUCGAAAGGAACGCUAAUACCGCAUGACAUCCCGUCCUUAGACGGAUGGUGAUCAAAGCUGGGGAUCGCAAGACCUGGCGCUUGAAGAGGGGCCCGCGUCCGAUUAGCUAGUUGGUAGGGUAAUGGCCUACCAAGGCAACGAUCGGUAGCCGGCCUGAGAGGGCGGACGGCCACACUGGGACUGAGACACGGCCCAGACUCCUACGGGAGGCAGCAGUGAGGAAUUGUUCGCAAUGGGCGCAAGCCUGACGACGCAACGCCGCGUGGAGGACGAAGAUCUUCGGGUCGUAUACUCCUGUCGAGCGGGACGAAUAUCACGCGGGUCAACACCCCGGGUGCCUGACGGUACCGCUAAUGGAAGCCCCGGCUAACUCCGUGCCAGCAGCCGCGGUAAUACGGGGGGGGCAAGCGUUGUUCGGAAUUACUGGGCGUAAAGAGCUUGUACGCGGCCAACUAAGUCGGACGUGAAAUCCCUCGGCUUAUCCGAGGACCUGCGUCCGAGACUGUCUG
RNAcentral lists this ribosomal RNA (652 nucleotides) under uncultured Acidobacteriota bacterium. RNAcentral describes it as "bacterial SSU rRNA". It matches the Rfam family "Bacterial small subunit ribosomal RNA", at positions 8 to 639 of the family's 1533-position model. Lineage: Bacteria; Pseudomonadati; Acidobacteriota. The record is from RNAcentral.